Molecule: long non-coding RNA, 1025 nt
Filed under: Equus asinus (donkey)
Lineage: Eukaryota; Metazoa; Chordata; Mammalia; Perissodactyla; Equidae
Description: lncRNA (ENSEASG00005031097.1)
Source: RNAcentral
CGAACUUACUCACAACGCUGAACUUCCUGCCUAGUGGACCACAUUUUCCAAGACCUGUUACUGCGUGAUGUGUCUUUUUCCCUCUGCUCUGUAAUGCCAGCUCUAUCAUGCAGCGACUCCCUUAUAUAUGUAGCGCUUCUUCAAACUUUCCAUUUUGCUGGUCUCUCCUAUGCUUAUGCUUUGUAAUAUGGGUUGCUGUCUGAUAGAGCUAGUCCUUCUUUGCUUUUCUUUUGCAGAAUUCCCUUGGCUAUUUGUGGACUUUUACUCUUCUUUAUAAGUUUUUAGAAUUAAUCUUUCCACUUGAAAAAUCAUCUUGAAUUCAAGUUCCGGGGAUCUAAGGUACGGCAGAAUAUCUAUACAUAGGAUGGCAACGUGCCUACCUAGAGUUUCCCCGCUUGUUGGCAGAUGCAGUCACAUGACACAGUCCUGCUCAGUGAGAUAGACUUUGUCCUCGAAUUCCAUGAGUGGGAGCACCCAAUCAGAACUGCCUGUAUCUGGAUGAUGUCUGUCAUUUAUCUACCUCCCAGACUUGUUGGGAUCAUCAGGUUUUGGCAUUGUGACCUGCAGCUGCUAUCCACGUCCUUGUCCAUGUCUCCUGGUGAAUAUGUGCUCCCUGGGGCUGACGUUCUAGCCCUGGGAGCUGACCUUACUUUGUGCUAAUGAGAUUUCUACCCAUCUGUGACCAUAAAGGGAAAGCUGAUAAAGACCCUGGAGUUUGGGAAUCUGAAGCGGUGGAUCUUAUUGUCAUGGAUUGGUUCCUAUUCAUGACAAAUUCAUAUUGCAAAGGACCGAAAACCCAGCAGUUUUCUUAAACGUCAGAAUAAACCUGCUGUUAUUUUAAAAGCAUUAAAAAUUCUUUUAAACGGCAAAAAUCACUCUUAAAAGUCUUUUUAUUUCAAAUUAAUAGCUUCUAAAUGUGAAGGUCUCUGCUUUGUGACUAACAAAAACGUUUGCCAAUAUUCCAAAUUAGAUUAUUUUGUUUUUAGCAAGAAUCAGACUUUUUUUUUGAGCCAGAGGAGACUUUA